AUCCAGAUGACGAGUUCCAAUUAGGACGAAAUGCCCGUUAUCCUGGAU
RNAcentral lists this non-coding RNA (48 nucleotides) under Trichobilharzia regenti. Lineage: Eukaryota; Metazoa; Platyhelminthes; Trematoda; Strigeidida; Schistosomatidae. The record is from RNAcentral.